UAUAUAGAUAAAUAUACAAUAUAUAUAUAUAUAUAUCCAAUAUAAAAAUGUAUGAACUAAUAUAAUAAAAUUCAAAAGAAGGAAGAGGACACACACAAAUUUCAAUCUCACUGAUUCUUUCUCUUUUGGUCUUUUUUUUUGAAGGAUGUUUUUGUUAUACUCCCCCUGCGCUAGUAUCUUUUCUAAAUUGUUCAACACACCAU
This 203-nucleotide non-coding RNA is filed under the name Pteridomonas danica. The record is from RNAcentral. Lineage: Eukaryota; Dictyochophyceae; Pedinellales.